This 502-nucleotide ribosomal RNA is filed under the name uncultured bacterium. RNAcentral describes it as "partial 16S ribosomal RNA". It matches the Rfam family "Bacterial small subunit ribosomal RNA", at positions 28 to 507 of the family's 1533-position model. The record is from RNAcentral.
GAUUAACGCUGGCGGCGUGCCUAACACAUGCAAGUCGAGCGGCAGCGCGUUUUACACUGAAUUCUGGAAGCUUCUAGUUGAAAGAGAAGAUUUAUUCAAGAAUUUUGUGUAAAAUGUCGGCGAGCGGCGGACGGCUGAGUAACGCGUGGGAACGUACCCCAAAGUGAGGGAUAACGCAUCGAAAGGUGUGCUAAUACCGCAUAUGGUCUUCGGAUUAAAGCCUUCGGGCGCUUUGGGAACGGCCUGCGUAAGAUUAGAUAGUUGGUGGGGUAAUGGCCUACCAAGUCGACGAUCUUUAACUGGUUUGAGAGGAUGAUCAGUCAGACUGGAGCUGAGACACGGUCCAGACUCCUACGAGAGGCAGCAGUGAGAAAUCUUCCACAAUGGGCGAAAGCCUGAUGGAGCAACGCCGCGUGCAGGAUGAAGGCCUUCGGGUUGUAAACUGCUUUUAUAAGUGAGGAUUAUGACAGUAACUUAUGAAUAAGGAUCGGCUAACUACGUG